This 74-nucleotide transfer RNA is filed under the name Phycisphaerales bacterium. RNAcentral describes it as "tRNA-Ala". It matches the Rfam family "tRNA". From Rfam's summary of the family: Transfer RNA (tRNA) molecules are approximately 80 nucleotides in length. Their secondary structure includes four short double-helical elements and three loops (D, anti-codon, and T loops). Further hydrogen bonds mediate the characteristic L-shaped molecular structure. tRNAs have two regions of fundamental functional importance: the anti-codon, which is responsible for specific mRNA codon recognition, and the 3' end, to which the tRNAs corresponding amino acid is attached (by aminoacyl-tRNA synthetases). tRNAs cope with the degeneracy of the genetic code in two manners: having more than one tRNA (with a specific anti-codon) for a particular amino acid; and 'wobble' base-pairing, i.e. permitting non-standard base-pairing at the 3rd anti-codon position. Lineage: Bacteria; Pseudomonadati; Planctomycetota; Phycisphaerae; Phycisphaerales. The record is from RNAcentral.
GGGGUGGUAGCUCAAUUUGGGAGAGCGCCUCGGUCGCAUCGAGGAGGUUGCCGGUUCGAUCCCGGUCCACUCCA